This 496-nucleotide ribosomal RNA is filed under the name uncultured bacterium. RNAcentral describes it as "partial 16S ribosomal RNA". It matches the Rfam family "Bacterial small subunit ribosomal RNA", at positions 30 to 523 of the family's 1533-position model. The record is from RNAcentral.
AUUGAACGCUGGCGGAAUGCUUUACACAUGCAAGUCGAACGGUAGAGGGGGCAACCCCUCGAGUGUGGCGAACGGGUGAGUAAUAUAUCGGAACGUGCCCAGUCGUGGGGGAUAACGUAGCGAAAGUUACGCUAAUACCGCAUACGAUCUAAGGAUGAAAGCGGGGGAUCGCAGGACCUCGCGCGAUUGGAGCGGCCGAUAUCAGAUUAGGUAGUUGGUCGGGUAAAGGCUCACCAAGCCAACGAUCUGUAGCUGAUCUGAGAGGACGACCAGCCACACUGGAACUGAGACACGGUCCAGACUCCUACGGGAGGCAGCAGUGGGGAAUUUUGGACAAUGGACGCAAGUCUGAUCCAGCCAUUCCGCGUGCAGGAUGAAGGCCCUCGGGUUGUAAACUGCUUUUGUACGGAACGAAAAGGUCUCUCUUAAUACGGGGGACUCAUGACGGUACCGUAAGAAUAAGCACCGGCUAACUACGUGCCAGCCGCCGCCGUAA